Molecule: non-coding RNA, 303 nt
Organism: Plectropomus leopardus (leopard coralgrouper)
Lineage: Eukaryota; Metazoa; Chordata; Actinopteri; Perciformes; Serranidae
Source: RefSeq, a predicted model, not a curated record
CUUGCCCAGAUGUAGUUCAAGUAAACCAGUUAGACAGCAGCUCGCUGCUCGUCCUCAUAGAGAAGUCCGUACAUAUAGUUGGUCUGGAGGGGGAGCUGAAGAGCAACAGGCCUCUGACACAUGAGACCACCUUCUCUCAGGAUGUCCAGUCUAUAGUGUAUUUUGAGAAAACGCUGCUUGCAGUGUGGCGUCACGGCUGGCAGAGGAGAGGACAAGGUUUCACUGAGGUGCUGGAAGAAACCACUGACCCCAGAAAGAUCUACAGACUGGUGCAGUCAGACAGGUGCAGCACCAUCACUCUCU